This 65-nucleotide transfer RNA is filed under the name Dipodomys ordii (Ord's kangaroo rat). It matches the Rfam family "tRNA". Rfam says of the family: Transfer RNA (tRNA) molecules are approximately 80 nucleotides in length. Lineage: Eukaryota; Metazoa; Chordata; Mammalia; Rodentia; Heteromyidae. The record is from Rfam by way of RNAcentral.
GGUGGCUCAGUGGUAGAGUGCUUGCCUUGCAUGCAUGAGGCCCCGGGUUCGAUUCCCCAGCACCA